Molecule: ribosomal RNA, 158 nt
Filed under: Hemicriconemoides ortonwilliamsi
Lineage: Eukaryota; Metazoa; Nematoda; Chromadorea; Rhabditida; Criconematidae
Description: 5.8S ribosomal RNA
Rfam family: 5.8S ribosomal RNA
About the family: 5.8S ribosomal RNA (5.8S rRNA) is a component of the large subunit of the eukaryotic ribosome. It is transcribed by RNA polymerase I as part of the 45S precursor that also contains 18S and 28S rRNA.
Source: RNAcentral
UUAGUCUUGCCGGUGGAUCACUCGGCUCGUAGGUCGAUGAAGAUCGCAGCCAAAUGCGAUAGUUUGUGCGAACUGCAGAUAUUCUAAGCACUGAACCGUCGAAUGCACAUUGCGCCUUGGGACCCUCAUCCCUUGGCACGCCUGGGUCAGGGUCGUUU